Molecule: ribosomal RNA, 314 nt
Filed under: Limosilactobacillus reuteri
Lineage: Bacteria; Bacillati; Bacillota; Bacilli; Lactobacillales; Lactobacillaceae
Description: bacterial SSU rRNA
Rfam family: Bacterial small subunit ribosomal RNA
Source: RNAcentral
UUAUUGGGCGUAAAGCGAGCGCAGGCGGUUGCUUAGGUCUGAUGUGAAAGCCUUCGGCUUAACCGAAGAAGUGCAUCGGAAACCGGGCGACUUGAGUGCAGAAGAGGACAGUGGAACUCCAUGUGUAGCGGUGGAAUGCGUAGAUAUAUGGAAGAACACCAGUGGCGAAGGCGGCUGUCUGGUCUGCAACUGACGCUGAGGCUCUAAAGCAUGGGUAGCGAACAGGAUUAGAUACCCUGGUAGUCCAUGCCGUAAACGAUGAGUGCUAGGUGUUGGAGGGUUUCCGCCCUUCAGUGCCGGAGCUAACGCAUUAA